UAUUACCUACGGGACGCAGCAGUAGGGAAUCUUCCACAAUGGACGAAAGUCCGAUGGAGCAACGCCGCGUGGGUGAAGAAGGUCUUCGGAUCGUAAAACCCUGUUGUUAGAGAAGAAAGUGCGUGAGAGUAACUGUUCACGUUUCGACGGUAUCUAACCAGAAAGCCACGGCUAACUACGUGCCAGCAGCCGCGGUAAUACGUAGGUGGCAAGCGUUAUCCGGAUUUAUUGGGCGUAAAGGGAACGCAGGCGGUCUUUUAAGUCUGAUGUGAAAGACUUCGGCUUAACCGGAGUAGUGCGUUGGA
Molecule: ribosomal RNA, 305 nt
Filed under: uncultured bacterium
Lineage: Bacteria
Description: bacterial SSU rRNA
Rfam family: Bacterial small subunit ribosomal RNA
Source: RNAcentral